GAUGAACGCUGCGGCGUGCCUAACACAUGCAAGUCGAACGGGGUUCUAUAUCGGAAGUUUUCGGAUGGAAGAGAUAGGACCCAGUGGCGGACGGGUGAGUAACACGUGGGUAACCUGCCUCAUAGAGGGGGAUAACAGAGAGAAAUCACUGCUAAUACCGCAUAAGCACACGGGAUCGCAUGAUCCAGGGUGAAAAGAUUUAUCGCUAUGAGAUGGACUCGCGUCUGAUUAGCUGGUUGGCGGGGUAAAGGCCCACCAAGGCGACGAUCAGUAGCCGAUCUGAGAGGAUGGCCGGCCACAUUGGGACUGAGACACGGCCCAGACUCCUACGGGAGGCAGCAGUGGGGGAUAUUGCACAAUGGAGGGAACUCUGAUGCAGCAACGCCGCGUGAGUGAAGAAGUAUUUCGGUAUGUAAAGCUCUAUCAGCAGGGAAGAUGAUGACAGUACCUGAAUAAGGGGCCGGCUAA
Molecule: ribosomal RNA, 468 nt
Filed under: Oribacterium sp. oral taxon 102
Lineage: Bacteria; Bacillati; Bacillota; Clostridia; Lachnospirales; Lachnospiraceae
Description: bacterial SSU rRNA
Rfam family: Bacterial small subunit ribosomal RNA
Source: RNAcentral